Molecule: long non-coding RNA, 1695 nt
Organism: Bubalus bubalis (water buffalo)
Lineage: Eukaryota; Metazoa; Chordata; Mammalia; Artiodactyla; Bovidae
Exons: 2
Source: RefSeq, a predicted model, not a curated record
CCUGCCUUCAAUCUUUCCCAGCAUCAGGGGCUUUUCCAGUGAGUCAAUUCUUUGCAUCAGGAGCUUCAGAGCUUGUAGCUGAGAUAGAGGACUUCAUGGACAGGGAGGCCUGUUCAGAAAGCAGUGUCCCAUUUCUCGCCUUGGCUUUAAGGUAACUCAAAAACUCUGCCUUCUGCACAUAAACUGCUUUUGGGGGACUCUGGUGAAAAGUGUCUGCCUGAGUGUCUUUCUCUUCACUGGCUAACUGGGCACAGACAUCAACUUUCCAUAACACAUUUCCUCCCAGACUGCCUACCUCUCUCUCCCCAACUCGCUGAUGGAUGAACCAAGAGUAACAUCUCUAGUAUUUCUGUAGGAUCAAAAGUUGCUUUAGCCUAUGACAGAGUCCUCUGUGUCUCAACCCCUUUCUGGAUAAUUAAGGCUUCUGUCUUCAGAGGUUACUGGCCCCUGGACCUCAGAAGUUAAAGAGUUUGUAUGCUCUUUCCAUCAAUGGGUUCAGAGUGACUUACUGAAUGUGAGAUGCCUCAAGAUGUAGAAGGAUGGUAUUGUGACAAAUGGCAAGCAGAAUUACAAAUGAAGUUGACAGGCUAAAACACAGGAAAAGAAUGUUAACAGAAUUUCAUUUAUUCCUAUAAAAUUUGAAGUUCUACUCCUAGGUUUAAAAAAUCUAUAAUAUGCAUAUAUGAUAAAGGGAAUAUGGUCUAACAGUAUUUUAUGGGAAAAGAUUUGAGGAUGUUAACAUUCUAGGGACCAUUUGGAGCACUGGAGAUGUUUGGGGAGCAACCCUGACUUAGACAUUAUCAAUAGUAACAUGUUGCCUUGUAAGAAUUUCUAUUUCCCAGGUUGGUUACAUGAAGAAUUCAGGCACCCUAUUUUGAAAGAAAUGCUCAUGAAUUGGAUGGAAAGACUGGGAGAAAGGGAGCCAGAAUGUAAGGACUGGAAACCACCUCCUUUGAGAAAGAAACCAAGAAGCUAAAUGUUUGCCCUGAGGAGUGAAGGCUUGUAGGAGACAAAGCUAUCUUCACAUGUUCAAAGUGUCAUCAUGAGAAAGAGAAUUGACUUGCUUUACGUAGAUUGUAUUCUGGAAGACAUAACUAUCAACCCAAGAAAGUCGGUCUUGGCCCAGUUAAAAGCAAUGAUUUCAGUAGGUCAGCACAGAAAAGUCAUCUCUAGAACUUCUUCCCAUUGGCCUCUCAUGAGGUCCUUCUUCCAUGGCACUAAGCCUGUCCCCCCAUGGCCUCCAGCAGAAGGACUGUAUCUCUGGGCAUUGAGUCCUGCCUUCCCACUCAGUUCUUUUCCAAGAUGCUCAUGGGGCAGUGAGGAAGAAGGAGAGGCUCUGGACACCUGGAAUGGAGAUGAUGCUAUGGAUAGGACUGAACUCAGGCUCUCCCCAGAGUCAGUACGGUGAGGGGACGUCUGUCUCCCUGCUUCAUUGUGCUUAGUUAUGCCAUAAAAUGAAGGAAGGGCAAGAUGUUGUUUAGUGUGUCUUGAAGAAGUAGCUGUGAAUAAAGUUGAAUGGCUUAAAGAGUCGCUUCUGUAGUUAGAACAUGGCGUGUUAUGUGUAUAUGAAAGUGAACAAUUUCAACUCCAACAUUGAGAAUCUCAUGGAAUGGCAAAUAAAUUUGCUGAAAACUGAUCCGUCUGAUAAUACUGUAGCUACAUGAGUGCAUUCAUUAAAUAAACAUUGAUCGAGUA